UUUAAAUCAGAUUUCCUGGGAAUAAUGUCUUAUUCAGUGCACUUGAAUAUUGAUUGUUUUAUAUGUAUAACCAACUAUUGACAAUGUAAUUUGCCGAAUAAGGUUUGCUUAGAUUCUGAUUUUAGUAGCUUAUAAAAAUUUUGGAAUUGGCCUUGGCAUCACCAUAUUUUCAAAUCUGCUCCUUGUUGAAGGGUGAAAAUUAGAAAAAAGAAUUUUAAAUCUGUGGAUUUCUGUGGCUGACCAUGCAGUUCCAGGUUGCUCAUUCUCUAUUGAGCCAAAACAUGCAGAGAAAACUCACAAAAUUUGAAACUGUAAAGUAAUUAUGGUUCUGCAAGGGACAUUAUGUUACAUGUGGCACUACACAUAGGUAAGCAUGGCAAAAUAAAAUGGAAGUUAGAUGAGAAGUUGUUAAUUUUUUUAAAUUAUCUCUGAGGUAAGUUAAAAAGACAAAGUACGCCUCAGAUAUGUUAGUCACCAUAGAUUAUUUUUGUAAUCUAUAUAGGUUUGUAAUAGCAGUGGUUGUGUACCCUUAAGAUAUGGGAUAAACUUUGACCUUGCUGUCAUGAAGUAUUUUCCAGUAUUCUUUUUCCUAGAAUUUAUUGAGGUGACUUUGAAAUGUUAAAUAGUAGAAUGACAGAAAACUUAAUUAAAAAAUUGACAGCAAGACUUACAACGGUUCGUAUGUGACUCACCUGUCUAGUUUAUAUUGUGAAUAUUCUCCUGUGCCUCUUAUUGUCAUUCUAAAGCCAGUAAGGCUGCAGUGUUAUUCACAGGUUUACAGCUGCCUCCUGGGAUGAUAACUGAAUUCAAAAAGGAAAGAGAGACAAAAGACUUACAGUAAAAAAUAUAACAUAUUUUCUGUGUCAAUCCCAAGACUGCAUUAUUUUUUGUAUUAUUCACAUGAUCAUUUCAUGUUGUAUGGUUGGUAACACAUCUUUCUUUCUUUCCAAAAUAGUUCUGCUAUUCUGGGGUUUCUUAAACCUUUCUUCACUUGUGCCACAAUAAAAAUCUGACUUUCUAAAGACAAUAGAAAUGUUUCCUAGAUAAGCAGGACCACCAUUGCCAGUAAGGGCUUAAUUUUUAUAAGGUAUUUGUAAGUUUUUACAUUAGUAGUGAAACUUAAACUCAGUUACAAAGUGGGUGUCAACCAUGUAAAUAGUCUAGAAUUUUUGUAAAAAAAUUUACUGAAACAGUGAAAGGUGCUUGAGUCCUGAUCACUGAAGUUUUUGGUUACUAAUAUUGGUUUCCAUAGGACAGGAAAAUGAAAUUGCGUUCAUUAAGAUGUUUUACAUGGAGAAAUGUGAGGCAUUAAUUCAUAACUCAAUAAUUAUUUGCCUAAUUAUAUGAACAGAUUUUACACAAUCAUCUCAAAUAAUCCACUAAUUAUGAAGUAGUAAUAAACCAAACAAUUUAGCUCAUUUAUCUCUGGCCCUUACAGAGUUCAACCCCAUUUUGAAUAAGUGAAGUUUCUACCCUCAGUACUCCAUAUUCAUAAACUAACAAAAGGAGGUCAGCAUUUUCUUGUCUGUAGAAUGAUUUUCACACAUAUGGAUCUAGAAUACAUACAGCAAGUGUUGAAUUAGGUAUUUGUAAUACUAGGAGUAAAUUUCAAAUCUAUGCUUACUUUGAAGCAGUUUUUAUGGAUAAGGUUCCAUAUUUGAGGGGAUUAGAGAUUUUCUUUUUAUUUUUGGUAUCCUAUUAUAUAGACCCUUGAUAAUUAGAAUUGUGGAGCUUCAUAUCAGGAGGAUUUUACAAUGAAUACUGCAAGGUUUAAAUGAAUACUAAAAGCCUUUGUGUCAGUUUUCUGAGAGGAACAGACAUUCUUCGGAAGCUCCAUCAAAAUGCAAUUUAAUUAUCUCUAUUUAUUUAUUUAUAACCUCGAAUAGAGUCUGAGAGAUUCAAGAAACGUUAUGUGCUGUAGGCUGACUAAAGACACUUGGGAAGGACAAAGUGGAAACAAAAACUAUUUUGAUUUUUGGAAAGAGAGGUCACCUAGUUUUGCAUCUCAUGUCCAUUUAGUAUUGUAGCUGAAAAAAUGUCCUUAAUUUUGACAUAUUGACAAAGGCUGAAAUUUUCAGCUAUUCAUAUAUUCCCUAGGUGCCCAAUUCUAUUGUGUCUAAAAUUUAUAUUACAAUUUAAAAACGAUUAAUAGUAUUUCAAGUAUAGAAAUGACAGCACUCAUAGAGUUUUUUGUUUUGUUUUCUAUUCUGUAUAUUUUGCAAGUUUCAAAGGCCACCUGAGGCACCUUAAAUGGAGAAAGCUUAACUGUGAAAUACAUAAAAGCUAACAGAAAGGAAUGAUGGCUUACACACUUCACAAAGUAUAGGUGUGAGUAAAUACACUCUGAAAUAAAGAUAUUGGAGUCCAUUGAUAAAGACUUUAUUUCAGCACUAUGGCGCUGAAUGUGGUAGAGUUAACAUUAAAUUUAUAUUAAUGUAACAUGAUGAGGAAUUAAGGCAAUGACUUAAAAAACAUGCCUACAAUGUUUUGUUCAGGAUAAAAAAAAAUGAGGAGGAAUUCUAACUGUGCUCUCUGCAACCUAUGUAGUUGAUCACUGCUAGAAUGUUUCAGGGGGAUGCUCUCUGAAAUGGUAUUAUAACUAGGUCACUUUUCUUCAUUGAUUUAUAUAAUUAAUUUAACCAAAAGCAAUAAUUACUUAAAAAUUUUAAAGUCUUUAUUAGGAACACAAAAGAGCAUUAUAAGCUAGAUGGAUAGAUUAAGCCAACUUCAAAAAGACAAGGUUUUUAAAGAUUAUAAUACUACACAACUGAAUUCAGCUGAGACUCUAAGUAAGAGCAAGAGAAAACUAAAGAGAUAUAUUUGCUUAGAAAAUAUGAAAGAAUUUGAAUGGUUAUACUUUCUGUAAUGUGAAUGAUAAAAGAUUUAACAAACCAAGAAGUGUUUUGAUUUUUAUUGUUCCAUCAAAACAAGAUUUCCAACCCAGAUCUGUAAAUGCUACAGGUAUACUUCAAAAUAACACAUAGCUGCCAAUAAUUAAUUCUCCUUUUUGUGUUUGCAUACUCAUUUAUUCUUAGAAAUUUCCUCACAGACAGACAUAAGGUACGAUUUAUUCUGAACGAUCUGAUGAGAUGAUGGCAUGAAUCACAGCCCAUACUGGUGGUACAAGCAAUAUUUAAGAGGCAAGGGUCACAGAUGGAUUUUUUUCUUUUCUCUCACCAAUUUUAUUUAACGGCCCCUGAUCAUGUAGGGAUGGGUUUUCUAUCAUUGUAUGAAUAAACUACUUUCCUCCUCAGGAUGUGCCCUGUUUAAUUUGAGUUAUUCUGUGUAAUCUGCAUACCCAUCAGGCUGCCUGCAUAACCCAAAUGCACUGCCACCUCUCAGAGGCCACAAGCAAAAAGAAAGAACAGCUGCUAGUAAGCCUCUGUGAGAUAAUAAAUCAGCAACAGGUGCUCCAGGCACACAGGAAGACUGGAGAUCAGGUCACAAAUUAAAUGUAUUUAGAAGGAAAACAGAAGAAAUAAAGGAAGCUGUUUGUAAGACAACAUGAAGAAACUGUGUUUGAUUUUGGCUUCUGUGAAACUAAAAUUGGCAAAGGGAUGGAAAUCAACACAGCUAAGAAGUAAAGCUACAGGGAGCCUGGCUAAAAAAGAAAAAAAAAAUAACAUAAACAAAACAAAAAACCAAAAAAGUAAUAAAUGUACUCUCUUUAUUCAGCAAAAUAAAAAAAAUAAAUUCAAUUACCCAUGAAAAAAAGGUAGACAACAUUUGCAUUUUCUUGCUAAGGGCCAAAGAAAAAUAUGCUGAAACUAAACCUAGUUUGUGCAAUAGUAUUUCUAAUAGGUUUCAGAAAAUGCAUAAUAUUUGGAUGGCAGUAUUAUAGUAAUGCUCUGAUUUUUCUCUAUACUUUCCUUCUUUCCAUGACAAAAGUCAAUGGUAUCGAUAACUCAAAAUGUCUGCCACUGAUAUAUUUCUUCAGAUUUUGGUCUCUUCUGGCAGUCUCUGUGCAUGUAAAAUGAGGCUGAAGUCAAAGAAGAAAUGUGACAAUGGACCUAACAGAUUUUUAAAAACAUCAGAACUGGAAAACUAUUUUUUUAAUUCAAUACAUUUUUUCAGUUACUUCAUCUUUCUUUACAAUUUUUAGCUUUUAUUUUCACUCUUAUAUCAUAGAAAAUAUAAGAAAUUCAUAGAUAUGAAUCAGUUUUAAUUGCUUCUUUACUGUUAGGUGGAUUUCUGUUUAUUUUUAAUCUGUUGGAUUUAAAAAACUGAAGAUGUUGUUGAAAGCAAGAACUAAUUGUCUAUUGAAAAAAGAGUUGAGUGACAGUCAUUGUGUAACAAAUUGCUCUUAUUGUUCCUUGUAGCAUUUUUGAAAAUCUAAUUGGAGAGAAAGACAAGACUGCUCUAUGUUGCACCAACACCCAGAAUUAAGCCCCAAAUAUUGUACAAACUCUACAAGAAAUAAAGAUCCACAGCAUACAGAUACAAACCUGAUGGAAAUCUAUAAAGAAACAGUGCACAUAUAUUGAAAAUUCUUGGUACCAGAAGUUUAAUUUGUAAAAGUCCAGUCUUUGGUGUAUUAUACAAUGAGCCUGUAUAAUAGUCCCAUCAAUUUCAGAGGGAACAGUGGUGGUUGUAAAUAAACAAAAAAAACAAAACUUGUAGUCCCUUAGGCUUUUUCUCCCUACUUCCCCAGGUCUUGAAAGUACUUUCAAUCAGUUAUCUGCACACUACAACUGUUAAGGAACUCUCAUUUAGGAGUCAUGACCCAGGCCUUACCCAGACCCAAACCACUUUAUAUUUCUACCAGUCGCCAACAGUUAUGACUUUUCUUUUCUGUAAAUAGCAGUAGAUGUGGUUUUAACACUUAUUUCUUCAGUACUUGUGUGUAUUUCAUAUAUAUAUAUAUAUAUAUAUAUAUAUACAGAGAGAGAGAGAGAGAGAUCUAUCUAUCUAUCUAUCUAUCUAUCUAUCUAUCUAUCUAUAUAUAUAUAUAUAUAUCUUUAUACUUCCAGAAGUUAAAAGACUUAUUCCUUGAACAUGUAAUCUCUUACUUUGUUUACUUUCACGGUAAAAUAAUUAAUGACUUCUAAUGUACAGUAACAAAACAGGAUUUUUGUGUGUCUAUGUUUUGCCAUCUAUAAUUUAUCUGGGCAAGACAAAAUUGUCAUUUAAAUUGGGAAAUAUGGUUUUCAUUUAAAAAGUAAUUUCUUGUUUUGUCAUGUUAUGACUUUAAUAAUAGUCAGUGCCCUCCAAUGCCCCAGCAUAGUAGUAGAAAUGCAUAAAUAAAUUACAACCCCAGGCAAAUCAUAAGGUGUUUUACAUUGCUCAAUAGUUCAUUGGCUAGUGGAACUGGUAGAAAAAAUAUUUCAGACUUGGGCUGAUAUACUUUAUUCCAAAGGAUGAGAACAGUUAAGGUUAGAAGGGACCUUAAGGAUAACUAGUUCAAUCCCCUGACCACGGGGAUUGAAUAGUAGUAGCAGGGACAGUCUAGUAGAAGGGACACAUCACUCAGAGCCCCAUCCAACCUGUCCUUGCACACUUCCAGGCACAGUGCAUCCUCAGCUUCUCUGGGCAACCUAUUCCAGUGCCUCACAGGAAAUUGUAGUUAUCCUGACAAUAACAUUUCUUCCUCAGGCUGUGAUUUUCCCGUGAUUUUAUCCAAAUUCUUGUUCUAAUUAUGGAGGAUCUUGAAGCUUGCCUUGAAACAAGAAUUAUUCUGCGGCCAAUUUAAUAACAGGUUCUUGGUGAUGUAUGCUUGAAAGAUGGCUGGUGUUGGAGUAGCCUUCUGAUUUCAAGUUUCAGGUACUUUGGGAAAAGAAAUGCUUGAAAUCUUAAAAAUUUAUGUGUGGGUUUUAUAAGGUAUCAUAAUUUCCUGAAAAAAUGGCUGACUAAAAACUAUUAAAAAUCUAAUAAAAAAUCCCAGAUAUUGUUAUACUUCCUAAAUAUUGCAACUAUUACUUAAUUUUUUACUGUUCUAAAAAUUCUGUUAUAAAUACAAAAUAUAUUCUAAUGUGUUCCUUAUACCCUUUUAGUAAGCCAAGAAACUAAGACGAUUUGGGUUUUAUUUUGCCUUGCUUUCGGGUUUUUGUGGGGUUUUUUACUAUUAAAAAAAUAUUGUACUUUCUUAGCAGAUUUAUGAUCCAUAUUUUAAUUUUUUCAAGGAGAAAUAAGAAAAGACAAUAGCAAGGUAUAACUGAAUACUUUGACACACAUUUACAUGCAUUUAUCAACUUUUCAACCCCUUUCUUUUCCAGUAGCAAAAAUACCUGAUAAAAAGAAAUUUCCCUGUAAUUUUUUUUGCUUUGGGGAGUUGACUUUUUGUUGCUUUUAAUUAGCAGUUUGUUUAUAUAUUAAAAGAUAA
Long non-coding RNA from Passer domesticus (house sparrow), 6319 nucleotides. RefSeq lists it as uncharacterized. NCBI's taxonomy places the organism in Eukaryota, Metazoa, Chordata, Aves, Passeriformes, Passeridae. The record is from RefSeq and is a predicted model, not a curated record. The transcript is spliced from 3 exons.